ACCCACGACUAUGGCGUCAAGAUGAAGAACGUCUUCAAGUUCCUCGAGAACGGCGACAAGGUAAAAGUCACCCUGCGCUUCCGUGGCCGUGAAAUGGCACACCAGAACCUCGGCCGCGAGCUUCUGGAACGCGUCGCAGAAGACGUGAAAGAAAUCGGCAAGAUCGAAAACAUGCCGAAAAUGGAAGGCCGCCAGAUGGUCAUGAUGAUCGGCCCGGCGCCGACCAAGUAACGCCUCUGGACCUCUGCCCCUUCUUUGGGGACGGAUUGCAAAACCCUCCCUCGCGGGAGGGUUUUUUCGUUGCUGGUCCACUCUUUUGGCGAUCGCAAAGGGUCACA
Molecule: unclassified non-coding RNA, 338 nt
Filed under: Tritonibacter multivorans
Lineage: Bacteria; Pseudomonadati; Pseudomonadota; Alphaproteobacteria; Rhodobacterales; Paracoccaceae
Description: Epibacterium multivorans Long range pseudoknot
Source: RNAcentral